RNAcentral lists this ribosomal RNA (497 nucleotides) under uncultured bacterium. RNAcentral describes it as "partial 16S ribosomal RNA". It matches the Rfam family "Bacterial small subunit ribosomal RNA", at positions 28 to 507 of the family's 1533-position model. The record is from RNAcentral.
GAUGAACGCUGGCGGCGUGCCUAAUGCAUGCAAGUCGAGCGAACAGACGAGGAGCUUGCUCCUUCGACGUUAGCGGCGGACGGGUGAGUAACACGUAGGUAACCUACCUAUAAGACUGGGAUAACUUCGGGAAACCGGAGCUAAUACCGGAUAAUAUUUCGAACCGCAUGGUUCGAUAGUGAAAGAUGGCUUUGCUAUCACUUAUAGAUGGACCUGCGCCGUAUUAGCUAGUUGGUAAGGUAACGGCUUACCAAGGCAACGAUACGUAGCCGACCUGAGAGGGUGAUCGGCCACACUGGAACUGAGACACGGUCCAGACUCCUACGGGAGGCAGCAGCAGGGAAUCUUCCGCAAUGGGCGAAAGCCUGACGGAGCAACGCCGCGUGAGUGAUGAAGGUCUUCGGAUCGUAAAACUCUGUUAUUAGGGAAGAACAAACGUGUAAGUAACUGUGCACGUCUUGACGGUACCUAAUCAGAAAGCCACGGCUAACUACGUG